AAGUCGUAACAAGGUUUCCGUAGGUGAACCUGCGGAAGGAUCAUUAACACGUAUCCAACGUUAAACAACCCUGUGAACUUUAAGUCCCCAGCAAUCCCGGUAAAUCAUUGCCAAACAGUUUUGAUUCGGGACCUCUGUUCAAAAGGAGUUGCAAUCGAAGGGUGGAAGCAGUGGCAUGGCUUCCCCAAGCAGUUAGUGAAUGACAGUGUCACUGACUGUGUAAGGAUAACGCCUCACGGUUGCUAGAGGUCGAUCACCGACCGGCAGACAUGUCACAGGGUCACCACGCCCCUUAAUCACUCCACUUGAAAAUGCCCCGCCUAGUGGUAACGCGCUAGGUAAAAAAAACCGAACAACUGUUAACAAUGGAUAUCUUGGUUCUC
RNAcentral lists this unclassified non-coding RNA (383 nucleotides) under fungal sp. RNAcentral's name for it is "partial internal transcribed spacer region". The stretch from base 1 to 46 matches the Rfam family "Eukaryotic small subunit ribosomal RNA", at positions 1786 to 1831 of the family's 1831-position model. Lineage: Eukaryota; Fungi. The record is from RNAcentral.